Molecule: long non-coding RNA, 2945 nt
Organism: Diachasma alloeum
Lineage: Eukaryota; Metazoa; Arthropoda; Insecta; Hymenoptera; Braconidae
Exons: 3
Source: RefSeq, a predicted model, not a curated record
ACCACUGCAGCGUUCAGAUCAUUAUUUCGACACCUUUAAACGUUAGUCAUUCAACGUGUAUAUUGUACAUUGACAGUAUAUUAUUAAUACGGUGAUACAAUGUAGAAGCGGCGACGCAGUGCGGAGCGCGAGCGUUUACCAGCGCCCUCGUGGCUUGGUGCUUGAACAAUCCGUACUCAAUCAACAACUGUACCAGCUGUGGCGUUAGGUUUUCAUUUCUAAUCUGAUGAUUAUUCAAUAUCAGGACUGAACUGGAUUUAUUUCUAGAGCGCAAAAAAUCCCAAUCGAGAUGUAGCAGCGCCUCGUCCCCCAAUGAAAAGGCCAAUCUCGCCCCCACAACGGAGAAGAGGAUAACAAUCCCCGUGAUUAAAAAAACCGCAGUACAAUCGAGCCACCUAAUCCGCCUUCCCCGGGCCCUCGGCUCUGCGGGGCCUUGACAAUUCGCUGUCGGUGCCGCCCGACCGGUGUCCACCAAUUACCUUUCUCGUCGCCGUAAUCGUGAGCACCCCAUCGGAGGAGAGGCUCGAGGUGACUCCCAGUGGGUCGUGCGUCGCAGGCAGCAAAUAACGUCUGACAAAGUGACGGCUAAUAAACCCGUGCUCAUCCUUCUUCUCUUCGUGCUUGGCCUCGACGAUAACAUUGUCAUCGACAGUCUUCACCCGAAUCUCAUCCGGCGAAAAUUGCUGCACAUCGAGUAUCACCUGAGUAAAAAAAAAAUCAUCAUCGGGUCAUUACAUCACCGCCCAAGACACCCGGAGACCAAGAGAAACUGAAUACUGAGUAGAAAAGGUUAGCGUUUGCAUCACCAGUACUUUUACUCUCCACAAAUAAGAGAAAUUUCGUAAACAUAAUUUACAUCGAUCUAGUCAUCUUUCACAUCUGCACGAGAGUCGGCAGAUUCCUGGGUCUUGCGAGGGCGCUCGCAGGGCGGCAGGCGUUGCGACAGGAGUUUCAAAAAAUCAGGGUUACGUUCAACUAAUCGAGGAAUAUCAAGGUCAUCUAGUAUUACACGCGCCUGCAUCAUUUACCAAAUAAUUCUCUGUAGUAUAUUGACUCUAAGAUGUAAUUACGACGUGCACCGACUUGUGUGAAUCUAUUUCGUAUCGUUACAACUAGCUGAUGAUGAUUUACUUGUGCGGAGUGUAUGCUGAAAGGAGGAAGGGCAUAUCUCCAUGUCACUUCAUUGAGAAUUACGAGUUUAUCAAGGACAGGGACAUGAGGGCCUCGCGCAUUCUGAGCGAUUACUAUCGGUUAAGAACUGAAAAUUGAGGGAAUUAUUUUUCAUUAUUUUUCUUUUCGAAUUGUCACUCCUGAUUUCGCUGACUCCGCAUGUAGGUAAUCACUCAGUAAUGCGUGUGUAGAGAGGAGAGGGAGAUUGAGAGAGAGAGAGAGUAAGAGAGAGAGAGCUGUUGACACCUUCGGUUGCGUCGUUUGUUGGCCGUCGGGGUUGUAACGCAUUUAUUUUUCUAUAUAUUGUAUUUAACAAGCCGAAGUUUAAUAGAGGGAAUAUUUAUCGUUGAAAAUAAGAACGAGGCCCCAGGGGGGUGCCCGGCGCUCCCAGGCCCCUGGACACGGCCCCAGACCGUGUGGCUUGACAAUAUUUUGCAAAGGGGAGAGACACUAAACAUCUUUUUGGGUUUUUAUCGAAGACUGAAUUUCCUGAAAAGAGAAGCAACUUUUUUUUAUAAAAAAUAGCAAAGUACUGGAUUUAAAAACAGAUAGUGAGAGUUAUCAAUUGUGAAAAAUAGCAGGUACAACUGUGAUUUUGUAAGCUGACGAUUUUACAUUUUCCCUUAGGCACUUGAGAUCUUUUCGAAAUUAUUGUACAUUCCGAAGAAAGUAUUCGAAAAUUCGUAAUUGUUGGUAUAACUCAAUAGUUUGGGAGAGACACAGCGCCCCCCUGUCUGAGGGGGGGGGUCAGCUCCACUGAAAUGCAAGAGAUUUUAUCGUUAAUGAGAGACUAGAGACAUCAAUUUCACGAAUCAUCUGACAAUGUAUCGAUCAUAAAUAUACUGUAUCAUCAACUAAUUGUAAAAUAGAUCAGGGAUCCGCCGAUUUUUUUUUAAAUGAAACACUUUCGAUGAGAGCGUGAGAAGGAUCGAGCCAUUAUUUUUUUUUUAUUGUAAAAAUUUUCGUUUACGAAUGCCAAAUCAUUUGAUUCGCGUCAUCAUCGAUCUGAGGGAUUAAAUUGUUCCGUCGAAUUCAUAAUCGAUAGAUUUGGAGGAUCGAAAUUACUUGUAAAUCAUCUUUCUCGUAUUGUCGACGACACUUAGUUAUAGAUCAGCGCUCAAAGUUAAUCGACUGCUGAGUUACAGGUGAAUACAAUAGAUUUAAGUCAUUGAGUGGUAGAGGAGUUGAGUUGGUGAGACGUUUUAUCCAGUUACCCUGACGAAUAAAUAAUCAACAGCAAAAAGAAAAUUUUUCAGUGAUAAAAGCAGCGCAUUAAAUCGAGAAGCCGUACUUAUUAGGUAACAAAAUAGAUCAUUCCUUCCAAUAGACGACUAAACAUCAACAAAUUGUUUUUUCGUGAAAUACAAAUACAAAUUACGAUUAAUUAGAGUCUGGAAUAAGCGCAAAGCUCACCAGGUGCUCCGAUUCUGAGGGAAUAACCUUCUGAGGGAAACUCGUGUCGUGGAAGUACUAUCGAGUGCGCCCAGUCGUACUUCAGUACUUCCACGACACGAUUUUUAUUAUAAAAAAAUCAAAACUGAGGGCUAAGGAAUUUUGAGGGAUUAUUUGUCAGCGAUUUUUGGAAAUCGCGAGUAUUCGGGGAUUUUUUAAAUUUAAUUCGCGUCUUUCGGGGGUCGGGGAUUAUAUCUACGAUUUGCAAGGUAUACUAUUAGCUUUUAAGUGAUUGAUUUUUAUCUCCACACCGUCUUUCCUCUUUUCUGUACGAAUUUUGUUGAAGAUUUUUCGUAACUAAAGUCAUUUUGCUGUUUAGAUUA